UGAUCAGCUUUCUGUAACUCUUCCUGACUCGACAUUUCCAAGCUGUGCUUCCUCAUAUCUAAGCCACCUCACCACAGCAUUUGACACUAGGAAUCCAUGCGUGUGUGUGUGUGUGUGUGUACUUUCCUUUUGAUACUUUACCGAUGAUAUGCACACUAAUUUUUCUGAUCUAUAGCCAUUUUAUUUCAAAAAAUCUACUUUCCUUCAAAGCAGCUUUAAUGCCAUUUCCACAGACAAAGAAAUUGGCAAGUGUGUCUCUAUUUAGACCUUAAACUCCGCAUUGCAUCUGGAACACUCUCACUGAGGACCCAGGCCCACUCCGUUACUAGCUUUCAUUGGUCAACAACAGAACCAAGGCAAUGUCAGGAAGAAAAGCUUGUU
RNAcentral lists this long non-coding RNA (381 nucleotides) under Homo sapiens (human). Its description in RNAcentral is "non-protein coding lnc-ABCA5-7:2". Lineage: Eukaryota; Metazoa; Chordata; Mammalia; Primates; Hominidae. The record is from RNAcentral.